CAGAAUCAGCUCCAACAUCUGCAUCUGACAGCAUCAAGUCAACCAGAAAGAAAAUGACUUCUUUCUGAUCACAUCUGUUCCGCUGCUCACAGGCUGCUGCUGCUCACAUUCUUCACAUUUAUUGUCCACUUUUAAAAGUUCAGCAGACAGGUGCUCUGCUUUUUGAAGUGUGACGAUGUCAUCGGUGAUGUGGAGAGUGAAGUUUCCGUUUUACCCACAGCAUGCUUGAGGGCAGACGGAGUGAAAGUAGCAGUUCCUCCUUAAGGUCAGAGAUUGCAGCAACUGCGGGCCUCUUCAAAAGACGACAUAGUUGAUGAAGGCGUUCUGGAGCAGGACCAGAAAGACCACGACCAAGCAGCCUUGAGAUCUUAGGCAGCGUCUCCCUCAGGUGGAUGUCAACGGUGUUCACGGCCAGACCAAAGAACUACAGACUCUUCACAACCUGCUCAAACUCUUGGUACAGGACCUCACCACACGGGUCAAGAAGGUUUCCGUCUCAUUUCUACUCUGAAGCUCACCUUCUCCUGCUCAAACUGCUGAC
Long non-coding RNA from Amphiprion ocellaris (clown anemonefish), 541 nucleotides. The record is from Ensembl. NCBI's taxonomy places the organism in Eukaryota, Metazoa, Chordata, Actinopteri, Pomacentridae.